GACGAACGCUGGCGGCGUGCUUAACACAUGCAAGUCGAACGGAAAGGCCCUGCUUUUGUGGGGUGCUCGAGUGGCGAACGGGGGAGUAACACGUGAGUAACCUGCCCUUGACUUUGGGAUAACUUCAGGAAACUGGGGCUAAUACCGGAUAGGAGCUCCUGCUGCAUGGUGGGGGUUGGAAAGUUUCGGCGGUUGGGGAUGGACUCGCGGCUUAUCAGCUUGUUGGUGGGGUAGUUGCUUACCAAGGCUUUGACGGGUAGCCGGCCUGAGAGGGUGACCGGCCACAUUGGGACUGAGAUACGGACCAGACUGCUACGGGAGGCAGCAGUGGGGAAUCUUGCACAAUGGGCGGAAGCCUGAUGCAGCAACGCCGCGUGCGGGAUGACGGCCUUCGGGUUGUAAACCGCUUUCGACUGUGACGAAGAGUGAGUGACGGUAAUGGGUAAAGAAGCACCGGCUAACUACGUG
RNAcentral lists this ribosomal RNA (468 nucleotides) under uncultured bacterium. RNAcentral's name for it is "partial 16S ribosomal RNA". It matches the Rfam family "Bacterial small subunit ribosomal RNA", at positions 28 to 507 of the family's 1533-position model. The record is from RNAcentral.